This 580-nucleotide unclassified non-coding RNA is filed under the name Chaetomium rectangulare. RNAcentral describes it as "sequence contains 18S rRNA gene, ITS1, 5.8S rRNA gene, ITS2, 28S rRNA gene". The stretch from base 219 to 372 matches the Rfam family "5.8S ribosomal RNA". Lineage: Eukaryota; Fungi; Ascomycota; Sordariomycetes; Sordariales; Chaetomiaceae. The record is from RNAcentral.
UCGUAACAAGGUCUCCGUUGGUGAACCAGCGGAGGGAUCAUUACAGAGUUGCAAAACUCCCUAAACCAUUGUGAACGUUACCUAAACCGUUGCUUCGGCGGGCGGCCCCGGGGUUUACCCCCCGGGCGCCCCUGGGCCCCACCGCGGGCGCCCGCCGGAGGUCACCAAACUCUUGUUAAUUUAUGGCCUCUCUGAGUCUUCUGUACUGAAUAAGUCAAAACUUUCAACAACGGAUCUCUUGGUUCUGGCAUCGAUGAAGAACGCAGCGAAAUGCGAUAAGUAAUGUGAAUUGCAGAAUUCAGUGAAUCAUCGAAUCUUUGAACGCACAUUGCGCCCGCCAGUAUUCUGGCGGGCAUGCCUGUUCGAGCGUCAUUUCAACCAUCAAGCCCCCGGGCUUGUGUUGGGGACCUGCGGCUGCCGCAGGCCCUGAAAAGCAGUGGCGGGCUCGCUGUCACACCGAGCGUAGUAGCAUACAUCUCGCUCUGGGCGUGCUGCGGGUUCCGGCCGUUAAACCACCUUUUAACCCAAGGUUGACCUCGGAUCAGGUAGGAAGACCCGCUGAACUUAAGCAUAUCAAUAA